AAUCGAACCCGGAGAUAGCUGGUUCUCCUCGAAAUAGCUUUAGGGCUAGCCUCGUAUUAGUCUGGUGGAGGUAGAGCACUGAAUUUCCUAGGGGGCGUCAAAGCCUACCGAAGAAUAUCAAACUGCGAAUGGCGGACAGAUGAUGCUGGGGAGUCAGACUGCACGAGAUAAGUUGGGUGGUCAAAAGGGAAAGAGCCCAGACCUACAGCUAAGGUCCCAAAGUGCGUGUUAAGUGGAAAAGGAUGUGGGAUUUCGAAGACAACUAGGAUGUUGGCUCAGAAGCAGCCACACAUUCAAAGAGUGCGUAAUAGCUCACUAGUCGAGAGGUCCUGCGCCGAAAAUGUCCGGGGCUGAAACACGACACCGAAGCUUAGGAACAGAAAUGUUGGUAGAGGAGCAUUGUUAGCGGAACGAAGCCAUACCGGAAGGAGUGGUGGACUGCUAAGAAGAGAGAAUGCCGGAAUGAGUAGCGAGAUUGAAGUGAGAAUCUUCAAGGCCGAAUAUCUAAGGUUUCCAGGGUAAAGCUGAUCUGCCCUGGGUAAGUCGGGACCUAAGGCGAGGUCGAAAGACGUAGCCGAUGGACAACAGGUUGAAAUUCCUGUACUGCGAUAUAUCAGAAAUGUGGGGACACAGAAGGAAAGUGUGAGCCGGGAAAGGAAAGACCGGUGCAAGCACAGGAGGAGAGAUACAGGCAAAUCCGUAUUUCAAUCCAAUGGUGUUACGCGGAGCGAACAAAAGUAGCGAAGCACAUGGACCAUCUGUCGAGAAAAGCCGCUAUAGUGUAUACCGUACCCGUACCGUAAACCGACACAGGUGGAUGAGGAGAGAAUCCUAAGGCCGGCGGGAGAAGCAUUGUUAAGGAACUCGGCAAAAUGACCCCGUAACUUCGGGAGAAGGGGUGCUCCAGAGAUGGAGCCGCAGAGAACUGGCCCAAGCAACUGUUUAGCAAAAACACAGGUCUAUGCAAAACCGAAAGGUGAGGUAUAUGGGCUGACGCCUGCCCGGUGCUGGAAGGUUAAGGGGAGUGGUCAGGAAACGAAGCCACGAACUUAAGCCCCAGUAAACGGCGGCCGUAACUAUAACGGUCCUAAGGUAGCGAAAUUCCUUGUCGGGUAAGUUCCGACCCGCACGAAAGGCGUAAUGAUUUGGGCACUGUCUCAACGAUACACCCGGUGAAAUUGAAAUACCAGUGAAGAUGCUGGUUACCUGCGCCAGGACGGAAAGACCCCAUGGAGCUUUACUCUAGCUUGAUACUGGG
RNAcentral lists this ribosomal RNA (1258 nucleotides) under human gut metagenome. RNAcentral's name for it is "bacterial LSU rRNA". It matches the Rfam family "Bacterial large subunit ribosomal RNA", at positions 831 to 2121 of the family's 2925-position model. The record is from RNAcentral.